GGAUUACAGGCGUGAGCCACCGUGCCCAGCCAUUUCUGGCUCUUAAACUUUGGAAAAGUCUUUAUCUUGUAAGUAGCAGGCUAGAACUUGUGCAAGAAGAGUGACCCUAUGUGAAGAGUGUUUUGAAUCUGAGGGUGAGAUGUCAGGCAACAACCAUGCCUUCCACUUUACCGGGCAGGGAAGAUACCCUGACCACAAAGGUGGUUUUCCCAGGGCAAGGUUCACUCAUUGCAUUCUGUGUUUGCUGGCCCCUGUGAUUUCCCCAAAUGUGGGAUACUCAACUGCAUAAUUUGUGGUAGUGGGCGACUGUGUUCACACUUUCCCCUGUGUUAUUCUUUGUCAAAUGGGAAGUAGCCAAUGUGAUUGUCUGUGGCCGUGUUUGGCUUCUCCUUGCUUGUUUCUUGUGAACUGUGUCUUUAAAUUUCCAUGGAAGUGAGAAGCUGUACUACUAUUUAGUUUGUGAUAGUAACAGGCUUCCUUGGUGUUUUUUCUUGGCUGUGUUCCCUUAAUCCAGCAUAAACUUUGUACACAAUGAGUACCACAUAUAUGUUGGCUGAGUCAAAUGAACUGGAAAUCAAACUCAGGAAGGAUUUCCUUUAAGCAUUUUUAUUUUUAGAGACAGGGUCUUGCUCUUGUCUCCCAGACUGGAGUACAGUGGUGCUCAAUCAUGGCUCAAAGCAGCCUUGACCUCCUGGACUCAGUCCUUCUGCCUCAGCCUUCCAAGUAGCUGUACAGGCAUGUGCCACCACGGCUGGCUAAUUUUUUUUUUUUUUUUUUUUUUGAGACGGAGUUUCCCUCUUGUUGCCCAGGCUGGAGUGCAAUGGUUUGAUCUCGGCUCCCAGCACCCUCCACCUCCUGAGUUCAAGCGAUUCUCCUGCCUCAGCCUCCUGAGUAGCUGGGAUUACAGGCACCCGCCACAACACCUGGCUACUUUUUUGUAUUUUUUAGUAGAGACGGGGUUUCGCCAUGCUGGCCAGACUGGCCUCAGGUGAUCUGCCUGCCUCGUCCUCCCAAAGUACUGGGAUUACAGGCGUGAGCCACCCCACCUGGUCAGCUGGCUAAUUUUAAAAGAACUUUUUGUAGCAUAGGGUCUCGCUAUGUUGCCCAGGCUGGUCUCGAACUCUUGGCCUCAAGUGAUCCUCCCACCUCGGCCUCUCAAGGUGCUGGGAUUACAAAAAUGAGUACCAUACCUGGCCCCUAAAGGAUUUUAACCUGCUCUUAACAAUGACUAUAGAAUUGAAAUUCAUUCAUUGCAUUCUAAAAUGACUACUUUGAAUGAUCACCUUUAGGUUCUGACAUAGUAGUUUGUUGGUUUUGUUUUGUUUUGUUUUCUUUUGUUUGAGAUGGAGUUUCACUCUUAUUGCUCAGUCUGGAGUGCAAUGGCAUGAUCUUGGCUCACUGCAAC
RNAcentral lists this long non-coding RNA (1405 nucleotides) under Homo sapiens (human). RNAcentral describes it as "HSALNT0243199". The stretch from base 164 to 327 matches the Rfam family "U1 spliceosomal RNA". Lineage: Eukaryota; Metazoa; Chordata; Mammalia; Primates; Hominidae. The record is from RNAcentral.